GACGAACGCUGGCGGCGUGCCUAAUACAUGCAAGUUGAGCGAUGAAGAUUGGUGCUUGCACCAAUUUGAAGAGCAGCGAACGGGUGAGUAACGCGUGGGGAAUCUGCCUUUGAGCGGGGGACAACAUUUGGAAACGAAUGCUAAUACCGCAUAAUAACUUUAAACAUAAGUUUUAAGUUUGAAAGAUGCAAUUGCAUCACUCAAAGAUGAUCCCGCGUUGUAUUAGCUAGUUGGUGAGGUAAAGGCUCACCAAGGCGAUGAUACAUAGCCGACCUGAGAGGGUGGUCGGCCACAUUGGGACUGAGACACGGCCCAAACUCCUGCGGGAGGCAGCAGUAGGGAAUCUUCGGCAAUGGACGAAAGUCUGACCGAGCAACGACGCGUGAGUGAAGAAGGUUUUCGGAUCGUAAAACUCUGUUGGUAGAGAAGAACGUUGGUGAGAGUGGAAAGCUCAUCAAGUGACGGUAACUACAGAGAAAGGGACGGCUAACUACGUG
Molecule: ribosomal RNA, 497 nt
Filed under: uncultured bacterium
Lineage: Bacteria
Description: partial 16S ribosomal RNA
Rfam family: Bacterial small subunit ribosomal RNA
Source: RNAcentral